ACUAUCAAUAAGCGGAGGAAAAGAAACCAACAAGGAUUGCCUCAGUAUCGGCGAGUGAAGCGGCAAAAGCUUAAAUUUAAAAUCUGGCACUAGCCCGAAUUGUGAUUUGCAGAGGAUGUCUUCAAGCAAAGGCUUUGAGUCUAAGUUCCCUGGAAUGGGAUAUCAUGGAGGGUGAGAAUCCCGUACAUGGUUCAUAGCCCCUUGCAUACACGAAGCUCCUUCAACGAGUCGAGUUGUUUGGGAAUGCAGCUCAAAAUGGGAGGUAAAUUCCUUCCAAAGCUAAAUAUCAGCCAGAGACCGAUAGCGAACAAGUAGAGUGAUCGAAAGAUGAAAAGCACUUUGGAAAGAGAGUUAAAAAGUACGUGAAAUUGUUGAAAGGGAAGCGCUUGCAACCAGACUUUUCAUCAUGGGUCGGAUCAUCCAGGCUCUUUGGCCUGGUGCACUCUGCCUGUGUAUGUGCCAGCAUCGGUUUGUUGGUCAAGAGAUAAAAGUAGUGGCUUGUCAAAUCCUUUGGGUUUUUGACAUCCAUCUACAAAUACAUCUUGAACCCAGACCGAGGACAGCGCAUUUUGCAUGGAUGCUGGUGUAAUGGUUGUAAGCGGCCCGUCUUGAAACACGGACCAAGGAGUCCAACAUCCAUGCGAGCGUUUGGAUUUAAAGUCCGAACGCGCAAUGAAAGUGAACGCAAAUGGGAACUAAUCUUUGUGCACCAUUGACCGAUCUUGAUCUUUUGAAAUGGAUUUGAGUAAGAGUAUGGCUGUUGGGACCCGAAAGAUGGUGAACUAUGCCCGCGUAGGCUGAAGUCAGGGGAAACCCUGAUGGAGGGUCGCAGCGGUUCUGACGUGCAAAUCGAUCGUCAAACGUGGGUAUAGGGGCGAAAGACCAAUCGAACCAUCUAGUAGCUGGUUCACGCCGAAGUUUCCCUCAGGAUAGCAGUGACGACAUCAGUUUUAUGAGGUAAAGCGAAUGAUUAGAGGCCUCGGGGUCGAAAUGACCUCAGCCUAUUCUCAAACUUUGAAUGUGUAAGAAGCCCCUUGUUACUUAACAUGAACGUGGGAUUAGAAUGUACUGUCACUAGUGGGCCAUUUUUGGUAAGCAGAACUGGCGAUGCGGGAUGAACCGAACGCGGGGUUAAGGUGCCAGAAUGCACGCUCAUCAGAUACCACAAAAGGUGUUGGUUCAUUUAGACAGCAGGACGGUGGCCAUGGAAGUCGGAAUCCGCUAAGGAGUGUGUAACAACUCACCUGUCGAAUGGACCAGCCCUGAAAAUGGAUGGCGCUCAAGCGUGUUACCUAUACCCCGCCGUUGGGGUAGAUAUUAUACCCCAACGAGUAGGCGUGCGUGGAGGUUAGGUGAAGAAG
RNAcentral lists this ribosomal RNA (1361 nucleotides) under Hesperomyces coccinelloides. RNAcentral's name for it is "partial large subunit ribosomal RNA". It matches the Rfam family "Eukaryotic large subunit ribosomal RNA", at positions 39 to 1408 of the family's 3401-position model. Lineage: Eukaryota; Fungi; Ascomycota; Laboulbeniomycetes; Laboulbeniales; Laboulbeniaceae. The record is from RNAcentral.